This 573-nucleotide ribosomal RNA is filed under the name Saccharomyces cerevisiae (brewer's yeast). RNAcentral describes it as "eukaryotic LSU rRNA". It matches the Rfam family "Eukaryotic large subunit ribosomal RNA", at positions 66 to 655 of the family's 3401-position model. Lineage: Eukaryota; Fungi; Ascomycota; Saccharomycetes; Saccharomycetales; Saccharomycetaceae. The record is from RNAcentral.
UUAGGGGGAUGCUUAGUACGGCGAGUGAAGCGGCAAAAGCUCAAAUUUGAAAUCUGGUACCUUCGGUGCCCGAGUUGUAAUUUGGAGAGGGCAACUUUGGGGCCGUUCCUUGUCUAUGUUCCUUGGAACAGGACGUCAUAGAGGGUGAGAAUCCCGUGUGGCGAGGAGUGCGGUUCUUUGUAAAGUGCCUUCGAAGAGUCGAGUUGUUUGGGAAUGCAGCUCUAAGUGGGUGGUAAAUUCCAUCUAAAGCUAAAUAUUGGCGAGAGACCGAUAGCGAACAAGUACAGUGAUGGAAAGAUGAAAAGAACUUUGAAAAGAGAGUGAAAAAGUACGUGAAAUUGUUGAAAGGGAAGGGCAUUUGAUCAGACAUGGUGUUUUGUGCCCUCUGCUCCUUGUGGGUAGGGGAAUCUCGCAUUUCACUGGGCCAGCAUCAGUUUUGGUGGCAGGAUAAAUCCAUAGGAAUGUAGCUUGCCUCGGUAAGUAUUAUAGCCUGUUGGGAAUACUGCCAGCUGGGACUGAGGACUGCGACGUAAGUCAAGGAUGCUGGCAUAAUGGUUAUAUGCCGCCCGUCUG